UACGUAGGGUCCAAGCGUUGUCCGGAUUUAUUGGGCGUAAAGAGCUCGUAGGCGGUUCGGUAAGUCGGAUGUGAAAACUCAGGGCUCAACCCGGAGACGCCAUCCGAUACUGCUGUGACUGGAGUCUGGUAGGGGAUCACGGAAUACCUGGUGUAGCGGUGAAAUGCGCAGAUAUCGGGAGGAACACCGGUGGCGAAGGCGGUUCUCUGGGCCUGACCUGACGCUGAGGAGCGAAAGCGUGGGGAGCGAACAGG
Molecule: ribosomal RNA, 254 nt
Filed under: uncultured bacterium
Lineage: Bacteria
Description: partial 16S ribosomal RNA
Rfam family: Bacterial small subunit ribosomal RNA
Source: RNAcentral